GACAGAGGGUGCAAACGUUGUUCGGAAUUACUGGGCGUAAAGCGUGCGCAGGCGGUUCCGCAAGUCAGAUGUGAAAUCCCCGGGCUCAACCUGGGAACUGCAUUUGAAACUACGGGGCUAGAGUGUGUCAGAGGGGGGUGGAAUUCCACGUGUAGCAGUGAAAUGCGUAGAGAUGUGGAGGAACACCAAUGGCGAAGGCAGCCCCCUGGGAUGACACUGACGCUCAUGCACGAAAGCGUGGGGAGCAAACAGG
RNAcentral lists this ribosomal RNA (253 nucleotides) under uncultured bacterium. RNAcentral describes it as "partial 16S ribosomal RNA". It matches the Rfam family "Bacterial small subunit ribosomal RNA", at positions 524 to 776 of the family's 1533-position model. The record is from RNAcentral.